RNAcentral lists this long non-coding RNA (225 nucleotides) under Manihot esculenta (cassava). Its description in RNAcentral is "long non-coding RNA (MESC_LNC004917)". The record is from RNAcentral. Lineage: Eukaryota; Viridiplantae; Streptophyta; Magnoliopsida; Malpighiales; Euphorbiaceae.
UGCUAUGUAUGUGAUGCGGGUUCAUGUGUUUCCACAUGAACCAUUUGAUGCUAAUGUUUUAUGUGAUGUGUGUUGUUUUUCAGUAAGCAAGAUGAGAGGCACUCGUCGAUCUGCACUAUUGACUGGAGUACCACCAGAGAAUGAGGGCAUGGAUGCCCGUCCUCCUGUAUUGCCAAGGGCAAUGUCAUGUAGAUCUAAUAGAGAGAGAUCAAUAAGGGACCCUAG